RNAcentral lists this ribosomal RNA (484 nucleotides) under uncultured bacterium. RNAcentral describes it as "partial 16S ribosomal RNA". It matches the Rfam family "Bacterial small subunit ribosomal RNA", at positions 30 to 507 of the family's 1533-position model. The record is from RNAcentral.
AUUGAACGCUGGCGGCAGGCCUAACACAUGCAAGUCGAGCGGAUGAAGGGAGCUUGCUCCUGGAUUCAGCGGCGGACGGGUGAGUAAUGCCUAGGAAUCUGCCUGGUAGUGGGGAAUAACGUCCGGAAACGGGCGCUAAUACCGCAUACGUCCUGAGGGAGAAAGUGGGGGAUCUUCGGACCUCACGCUACCAGAUGAGCCUAGGUCGGAUUAGCUAGUUGGUGGGGUAAAGGCCUACCAAGGCGACGAUCCGUAACUGGUCUGAGAGGAUGAUCAGUCACACUGGAACUGAGACACGGUCCAGACUCCUACGGGAGGCAGCAGUGGGGAAUAUUGGACAAUGGGCGAAAGCCUGAUCCAGCCAUGCCGCGUGUGUGAAGAAGGUCUUCGGAUUGUAAAGCACUUUAAGUUGGGAGGAAGGGCAGUAAGUUAAUACCUUGCUGUUUUGACGUUACCAACAGAAUAAGCACCGGCUAACUUCGUG